RNAcentral lists this ribosomal RNA (586 nucleotides) under Aureobasidium sp. KCTC 26209. RNAcentral describes it as "eukaryotic LSU rRNA". It matches the Rfam family "Eukaryotic large subunit ribosomal RNA", at positions 47 to 648 of the family's 3401-position model. Lineage: Eukaryota; Fungi; Ascomycota; Dothideomycetes; Dothideales; Saccotheciaceae. The record is from RNAcentral. RNAcentral also lists the same sequence under 1 other name.
UAAGCGGAGGAAAAGAAACCAACAGGGAUUGCCCUAGUAACGGCGAGUGAAGCGGCAACAGCUCAAAUUUGAAAGCUAGCCUUCGGGUUCGCAUUGUAAUUUGUAGAGGAUGCUUUGGGUAAAACGCCAGUCUAAGUUCCUUGGAACAGGACGUCAUAGAGGGUGAGAAUCCCGUAUGUGACUGGAAAUGUUAACCUAUGUAAAGCUCCUUCGACGAGUCGAGUUGUUUGGGAAUGCAGCUCUAAAUGGGAGGUAAAUUUCUUCUAAAGCUAAAUAUUGGCGAGAGACCGAUAGCGCACAAGUAGAGUGAUCGAAAGAUGAAAAGCACUUUGGAAAGAGAGUUAAAAAGCACGUGAAAUUGUUGAAAGGGAAGCGCUUGCAAUCAGACUUGUUUAAACUGUUCGGCCGGUCUUCUGACCGGUUUACUCAGUUUGGACAGGCCAGCAUCAGUUUCGGCGGCCGGAUAAAGGCUCUGGGAAUGUGGCCUCCACUUCGGUGGAGGUGUUAUAGCCCAGUGUGUAAUACGGCCAGCCGGGACUGAGGUCCGCGCUUCGGCUAGGAUGCUGGCGUAAUGGUUGUAAGCGAC